GAUGAACGCUGGCGGCGUGCCUAAUACAUGCCAGUCGAGCGAACAGACGAGGAGCUUGCUCCUCUGACGUUAGCGGCGGACGGGUGAGUAACACGUGGAUAACCUACCUAUAAGACUGGGAUAACUUCGGGAAACCGGAGCUAAUACCGGAUAAUAUAUUGAACCGCAUGGUUCAAUAGUGAAAGACGGUUUUGCUGUCACUUAUAGAUGGAUCCGCGCCGCAUUAGCUAGUUGGUAAGGUAACGGCUUACCAAGGCAACGAUGCGUAGCCGACCUGAGAGGGUGAUCGGCUACACUGGAACUGAGACACGGUCCAGACUCCUACGGGAGGCAGCAGUAGGGAAUCUUCCGCAAUGGGCGAAAGCCUGACGGAGCAACGCCGCGUGAGUGAUGAAGGUCUUCGGAUCGUAAAACUCUGUUAUUAGGGAAGAACAAAUGUGUAAGUAACUAUGCACGUCUUGACGGUACCUAAUCAGAAAGCCACGGCUAACUACGUG
This 497-nucleotide ribosomal RNA is filed under the name uncultured bacterium. RNAcentral describes it as "partial 16S ribosomal RNA". It matches the Rfam family "Bacterial small subunit ribosomal RNA", at positions 28 to 507 of the family's 1533-position model. The record is from RNAcentral.